Molecule: ribosomal RNA, 497 nt
Filed under: uncultured bacterium
Lineage: Bacteria
Description: partial 16S ribosomal RNA
Rfam family: Bacterial small subunit ribosomal RNA
Source: RNAcentral
GAUGAACGCUGGCGGCGUGCCUAAUACAUGCAAGUCGAGCGAACAGAUGAGGAGCUUGCUCCUCUGACGUUAGCGGCGGACGGGUGAGUAACACGUGGAUAACCUACCUAUAAGACUGGGAUAACUUCGGGAAACCGGAGCUAAUACCGGAUAAUAUAUUGAACCGCAUGGUUCAAUAGUGAAAGACGGUUUUGCUGUCACUUAUAGAUGGAUCCGCGCCGCAUUAGCUAGUUGGUAAGGUAACGGCUUACCAAGGCAACGAUGCGUAGCCGACCUGAGAGGAUGAUCGGCCACACUGGAACUGAGACACGGUCCAGACUCCUACGGGAGGCAGCAGUAGGGAAUCUUCCGCAAUGGGCGAAAGCCUGACGGAGCAACGCCGCGUGAGUGAUGAAGGUCUUCGGAUCGUAAAACUCUGUUAUUAGGGAAGAACAAAUGUGUAAGUAACUAUGCCCGUCUUGACGGUACCUAAUCAGAAAGCCACGGCUAACUACGUG